UACGUAGGGUGCGAGCGUUAAUCGGAAUUACUGGGCGUAAAGCGUACGCAGGCGGCUGCGCAAGACAGGUGUGAAAUCCCAUGGCUUAACCAUGGAACUGCUUGGCAUACUGGCGAUCUUGAGCCACUUAGGGGCAACCGGAACAAAUGGUGGAGCGGUGAAAUGCGUAGAUAUCAUUUGGAACGCCAAUGGUGAAAACAGGUUGCUGGGAGUGUGCUGACGCUGAGACACGAAAGCCAGGGGAGCGAACGGG
This 253-nucleotide ribosomal RNA is filed under the name uncultured bacterium. Its description in RNAcentral is "partial 16S ribosomal RNA". It matches the Rfam family "Bacterial small subunit ribosomal RNA", at positions 524 to 776 of the family's 1533-position model. The record is from RNAcentral.